UAAUACAAUUUCCAUUCAAUAAACACCGGUUGUGAACAUCCGCUCCGAGGUUCAGUGAGUACCUAUUUUACUAUAUUAUUCCUUAACCCUGUCAAAUUGGUUCCCUUAGUCUCUUGCGAGUUGUUGAGUCAACUAGCUGUUGGAACGACAAUUAAACUAGUAUGUUGACGUAUUGCAGGAUUCUAAAGGAUUCGCUACCGAAACAACUAGGUAUAAUUACUAUACCCAACAGCUGAGCAUUUUAACGAGUUAUAAAGUUAAUAAUUAAGAGUCAUUUUUGG
This is a non-coding RNA of Cinara cedri, 281 nucleotides long. The record is from the annotation of a GenBank genome assembly. Lineage: Eukaryota; Metazoa; Arthropoda; Insecta; Hemiptera; Aphididae.